AAGUCACUAGUAAAACUGAUAUUACAUUGCUUUGUCAAGGCAAAAUUGCGAGUUAAACCCUCGCGUGUCUUA
RNAcentral lists this transfer RNA (72 nucleotides) under Arcos sp. KU 149. RNAcentral's name for it is "tRNA-Asp". It matches the Rfam family "tRNA". From Rfam's summary of the family: Transfer RNA (tRNA) molecules are approximately 80 nucleotides in length. Their secondary structure includes four short double-helical elements and three loops (D, anti-codon, and T loops). The record is from RNAcentral. RNAcentral also lists the same sequence under 1 other name. Lineage: Eukaryota; Metazoa; Chordata; Actinopteri; Blenniiformes; Gobiesocidae.